AGUCAUGGUAGUAGGUUCAAUCAUUUUCAAUUUAAGCAUAAGUUAAAAUUUUUUUCUUUCUAUUAAUAGAAAGUUUAAAAUAUCUAAAUACUCCUCCUACUACCACUACCACUCAUCAUCCUCCUCCUCCUCUCCUCCUCCUCAUCCUCCUCGUACUACUACUACUCCUCAUUCUUCUUCUAAUCUUUAUUCAUUCUACUCCUCCUCCUACUACUACUCCUACCACUACUCCUACCACUUCUCCUCCUCCUACUCCUCCCCCUCCUCCCCCUCCUCCUCCUCCUACUACUACUACUCCUCCUCCUCCUCCUUCAACUACUCAUACUCCUACCACUACUCCUCAUUCUUCUUCUAACCUUUAUUCGUUCUAUUUUUUGUUUGUUUGUUAUUUUCAAACAUUAUUAAUAUCACAUCUCUUCACUUCUCUAUUUGUACAAGAUGAAAAACACUUGUUUUAUGAUUUCUUCCCUAAUACUUUCUUUAUAUAUUUUGCAUCUUUCAUCUCCCUUCUCCAUCUCUUAUUAUUCAAAUUCUAACAACGACAAAAUAACUAACUUAUCUAAUCAACCAGAGGUGAAAUUCUACCAAUACUCUUGUUAUAUCUGUGUCGAUAAAAUACAAAAAAUAUUUUUAUUUUAUUAUUUUAUUGAAGCAGAAGUUCAGCGAACUUCAAAACCAAUAGUUAUGUGGCUAUAUGGAGGGUCGGACUGUUCUUCCGUAGGACUUGGAGCUUUCAAAGAGCAUGGUCUUUUUAAACCAACUGACAAAGCUUUAGUCAAGAACGACUACGGUUGGAACAAAGCUAAUUAGAAAAAUUAAUUUUGUUGAAUUUUAGUAACAUUAUUGUGCAUUUCUAAAAUUGUUUUUGUCCAAUUUGAUAACGUACUGAGGCCAACAUGCUUUAUUUGGAAUCACCCGCCGGCGUUGGCUUCUCAUACCCCAUCAACCAAUCAUUCUAUUACCACUUGACUGAUGAAAUGACGGGUCACUUUGCACCUCAACUUGCAAAACUCAUUGUAAAAACCAAAACCAACAUACAUUUAAAAGGAAUAGCCAUAGGUAACCCCGUUUAAUACAGAUUAUAACUCUAGGAGUCAAUUUUGGUGGUCUCAUGGCUUGAUAUCAAAUUCAACCUAUGAGUUACUUACCAAAGUUUACAACUAUUCCCGAAUUAAGAGGGUGGAACAGUUAAUUCCACUUACGUAAAAAUUAAUAAGCGAUUGCAGACGGAGGUUGGUAGUUUCACCGAUCCUUUUCGUAUUAGUCACCCUCCGUGUCUAACAACAGGAGAUCAUACAGGGAAUCCACGUAGUUCUCUGGUAUGACAUUAAGGAGUCUUAUAUUCCAACCAUAUCUAUUCUAGGGACACUUGUUAAAUCAGGUGUAAGAGUUAUGGUAUUUAGUGGAGAUCAAGAUUCUUACUUACCAUUCCUUGGCACACAAUCCUUAUUGGAUUAGCCAAGGACAUUGGAUUGAAGGAAUCAAACUCUUACUUACCAUUCCUUGGCACACAAUCCUUAUUGGAUUAGCCAAGGACAUUGGAUUGAAGGAAUCAAACUCUUUUCGACCAUGUUGCAGGAUCUACGGUGGUUUAGGAUGAUAUUUUAUCUUUUGCCACCAUUAGAGGAGCUGGUCAUUCCAGUGCAUCAUUGCAACGAGAAUCUACAUUUGUGUUAUUUAAAGUAUUUUUAGAAGGAAGGUCCCUUCCAAAACUUCAAAUAUAAAUGCUUUAUGUAACACAAUUUUUUUAUGUAAAUUAUAUAUUAAACCGUUUUAUUAUAAAUUUGUUAUAUUUUAUUUGUAUUA
Cicer arietinum (chickpea) is the source of this 1806-nucleotide long non-coding RNA. RefSeq lists it as uncharacterized. Lineage: Eukaryota; Viridiplantae; Streptophyta; Magnoliopsida; Fabales; Fabaceae. The record is from RefSeq and is a predicted model, not a curated record.